CUGCUGCCUUCCGUAGGAGUCUGGGCCGUGUCUCAGUCCCAGUGUGGGGGGCCUUCCUCUCAGAACCCCUACGCAUCUCGCCACGGUGGGCCGUCACCCCGCCGUCUAGCUAAUGCGCCGCAUGCCCAUCCGCCACCGGAUCGCUCCUUUGGCCACCGGAGGAUGCCCUCCGGUGGCGUCACGGGGUAUUAGGCCGCGUUUCCGCGGGUUAUCCCCCUGUGGCGGCCAGGUUGCAUACGUGUUACUCACCCGUGCGCCGGUCGCCGGG
Molecule: ribosomal RNA, 268 nt
Filed under: uncultured bacterium
Lineage: Bacteria
Description: partial 16S ribosomal RNA
Source: RNAcentral